This 484-nucleotide ribosomal RNA is filed under the name uncultured bacterium. RNAcentral describes it as "partial 16S ribosomal RNA". It matches the Rfam family "Bacterial small subunit ribosomal RNA", at positions 29 to 523 of the family's 1533-position model. The record is from RNAcentral.
AGUGAACGCUGGCGGCGUGCUUAACACAUGCAAGUCGAACGAGAACGGAAUAUAGCUUGCUAUAUUUGUCAGCUAAGUGGCGCACGGGUGAGUAAUGUAUAGAUAACCUGCCCUUAAGAAAGGAAUAACAGUCGGAAACGACUGCUAAUGCCCUAUAUGCCUUUAAUACAUAAGUAUGCAAGGGAAACGCUUUAGUGCUUAAGGAUGGGUCUGUAUGGUAUCAGCUUGUUGGUGAGGUAAUGGCUCACCAAGGCUAUGACGCCUAACUGGUUUGGGAGGAUGAUCAGUCACACUGGAACUGAGACACGGUCCAGACUCCUACGGGAGGCAGCAGUGGGGAAUAUUGCACAAUGGACGAAAGUCUGAUGCAGCAACGCCGCGUGGAGGAUGACACAUUUCAGUGCGUAAACUCCUUUUAUAUAGGAAGAUAAUGACGGUAUUAUAUGAAUAAGCACCGGCUAACUCCGUACAGCCGCCGCCGUAA